Long non-coding RNA from Bos taurus (domestic cattle), 427 nucleotides. NCBI's taxonomy places the organism in Eukaryota, Metazoa, Chordata, Mammalia, Artiodactyla, Bovidae. The record is from Ensembl.
UUUUGACUGAUUUUACAGACAAAACACCUCCAAACUCAUUUUCUUCUUUAAGCCUGCUGAAGGGUAGUAUGAUCAAUGAAAGACUUUCAAGCACAAAAUUAUCUUGCAUCAGGGUGAAGCUUUACGGAAGAAAUGGAAUGGAACUAUGUUUCCAAGGAGAAAAAGAAAGGCUAUGCGAGCAAAAUGGUGUGGAGACUCUGGAAUUGGCACAGUUCGAGGUCCAGGGAGGCCCGAGCUGGCCUGGCCUCUGAGGCUGUAUUUAUACGGAAUGACAGUGGGCUUCUGGCAGCAAGCAUGUGCCAGCAACACGGACGGACCUAGAGAGUGGUAUACCGAGAGAAGCAAUAUCACGUGACAUCCUUUACGUGUGGAAUCUAAGAAGAAAUGAUACAAAUGAACUUACAAAACAGAAACAGAUUCACAGACU